Molecule: ribosomal RNA, 292 nt
Filed under: uncultured bacterium
Lineage: Bacteria
Description: partial 16S ribosomal RNA
Rfam family: Bacterial small subunit ribosomal RNA
Source: RNAcentral
GUGCCAGCCGCCGCGGUAAGACGAACCGUGCGAACGUUGUUCGGAAUCACUGGGCUUAAAGGGCGCGUAGGCGGGCUAUCGAGUCCGGGGUGAAAUCCUCCCGCUCAACGGGAGAACGGCCUCGGAUACUGAUGGUCUCGAGGGGGAUAGGGGCACGCGGAACUGUGGGUGGAGCGGUGAAAUGCGUUGAUAUCCAUAGGAACUCCGGUGGCGAAAGCGGCGUGCUGGAUCCCUUCUGACGCUGAGGCGCGAAAGCCAGGGGAGCAAACGGGAUUAGAAACCCUUGUAGUCC